UGCCAGCCGCCGCGGUAAUACCGGUGGCUCGAGUGGUGGCCGCUAUUAUUGGGUCUAAAGGGUCCGUACCGGCCUGAUAAGUUACCUGGGAAAUCCGGUGGCCUAACCAUCGGCGGCCAGGUAAUACUAUCAGGCUCGGGACUAGGAGAGACCAGAGGUACUCAUGAGGUAGGAGUGAAAUCCUGUAAUCUUAUGAGGACCACCAGUGGUGAAGACGUCUGGUUAGAAUAGGUCCGACGGUGAGGGACGAAGGCUGGGGGCGCAAACCGGAUUAGAUACCCGGGCAGUCCCAGCAGUAAACGAUGCCAGCUAUGUGUUGCUGGAACCAUGGGUUCCAGCAGUGCCGAAGGGAAGCCGUGAAGCUGGCCACCUGGGAAGUACGGUCGCAAGGCUGAAACUUAAAGGAAUUGGCGGGGGAGUACCACAACCGGUGGAGCCUGCGGUUUAAUUGGAUACAACGCCGGGAAUCUUACCGGAGGGGACAGCAGUAUGAAGGCCAGGCUAAAGACCUUGCCAGAUCAGCUGAGAGGAGGUGCAUGGCCGUCGCCAGUUCGUACCGUGAGGCAUCCUGUUUAGUCAGGCAACGAUCGAGACCCGCAGUCUUAUUUGCCAGCAUGCCCUUUGGGGUGUAUGGGUACAAUAAGGCGAACGCCAGCGCUAAGCUGGAGGAAGGAGCGGGC
RNAcentral lists this ribosomal RNA (680 nucleotides) under uncultured bacterium. RNAcentral describes it as "bacterial SSU rRNA". It matches the Rfam family "Archaeal small subunit ribosomal RNA", at positions 456 to 1136 of the family's 1478-position model. The record is from RNAcentral.